Molecule: long non-coding RNA, 4820 nt
Organism: Ahaetulla prasina
Lineage: Eukaryota; Metazoa; Chordata; Lepidosauria; Squamata; Colubridae
Exons: 6
Source: RefSeq, a predicted model, not a curated record
CCUAACCGCGUACGCACGCAGCAGCUGGUCACAUUUCCUUCAAAGAUCCAGGAGCAGAGUGUUCUGUCCCGGCCACCUUUCGGGUGGUGUUGGGGCCGGCCGGCCGGCCUGCCUACCUACCUACCUACCUACCUACCUACCACCGCUCGCUCACCCCUAUUUGCCUGGCGCUGCUAAGAACGGCAAGCUCCCAUUUGUAGGCCUUGGCCGAGAAGAAAGAGCCAGUGUGUGGCCGGACCCCACGGUGGCUUAAAGCCACCAAUUACGGGUUCCCGCUCUGGCGCUUCCCCCUCCAGCUGGAGGUGGAGUUGGCUAGUGAGCUCGUUGAUUGCAAGCGGCUUGCGUGAUCGCGCGCAGGAUUAGGGCUAGGGACUGAGUGAGGAAGAAGACGGAGGCGCCAUUUGCUGCAGCAACACUCCACCUCUCUGGUGUACGAAAGCGAGUGGCAGUCGGGAACCUCCACAGGGAAAAGCUUCAAACCUGAGCCUGCCCACCCACCAAUUUAUCACUGAAUAAGCUUCCAUGUGAAUGUUGUUCACCAUUUGCAAGCAACACAACAACAGUGAUAGCCUCUGACCGAAAGACUAGACAAGCUUGAAGUGACAGGCGCCGGGAUGUCCUCACUGCUGCUACUCUUGAAGAAGCAGACGAUUAUGAUCUGUUGUUCAGAAAGGGGAUGAGAAACCCACACAUUACCAGCAAGGCAGAGUUUCAGAGUAAUCCUUAGGGACCUGAUUGUUAAUGAGAAUAAUGCUGAUUCUCCUGAGGCCCAAUGCAAAAACUACAUCUUUCAGAUUACUCACCAGGAUCUAGCUAGCAGCCUGAUGAAUGUAAGAAGAGAAGCAUAGUCCAGCACCUGCUGCAUGUACCAGAUAGGACACAUUCAGCACAUGGACAAAUAUAAAGAUUUAGCACCUAAUCAACUAUGAUUGAUUUUUAAACAACUAAACAGAAUCAAAUGGGAGAUACUUGGAUAGGAGAUCCCUAGGAACAUCACUUAUGGACUAGACUAGAAAGUCUGAAGAAAGUGCUUGCAGAGGUAUAUACAUACAUACAUACAUAUAUACACACAUAUACACACACAUACAUACAUCAGAAGAAUGCAAUGACAGACCCUUUUGUAUUGUUGCCAAGAAAAUUACAAGACUAUGAGGCUGUAGUCACCAGAAGUCAAGCUCAGCUGGAGGAGACUUACCAUUGCAUUUAUGCUGUUUUCCAUUCAGAAAACCCUUUGAUUUCCUACUGUGUUGGAUUAUUAGAGGUUGUAUUUAUGUAAAUACUGAGUAUUUGUAACAUGAAAACAAAUUCCUUGUCCUGUCAGAAUGGAAUAAUGUGAAUCACAAAAGGAAAUGUUAUGGAAAAAUGUAAGAUAUGCUGGCCGCAUCCUUGAACAGGAAUCUGCUCAGUCCCUCAGGGAGUCAGUCUUUUCACAAUCUUUGUUCCAGAAAAGCAGCCUCAGAACAGACAUUCUCCUUCAAUAUUAAGCUUUCUGAUUUUACAUUAAGCCCUGUCCUCAUUUGCACCAAAGCCCUUUCAUCUUUCUUGCCUUAACCCCAGAACAUCACCUUUAGCAUCUCCCAAGCCCCUGAACAAAGCAGCCUUAAGUCAUUAUUAGCAACACAGGUACAGUAUGAAAGUAGAAUUUCCCCCCUUAUUCUUCUUAAAGUAUUUGAAGUCUGUUAUGCUUCAACACCUGUUACUUCAGAGUAGGUUAUUAUUAGUAGAUGUAAUCAAAGGUGUGUUUUGCUCUGUAUUUUUGGAGUUUCUUUUCUUUCUCCUCACCACACCCCUCCCCUGGUCCCCUACAAUUCUGAAAACAACUGCUCUGCUGGCUUUCAACAAAGUUGAGAAUAGCAAAAUGAACUUUACUUAUUUUGUGAGGUAUGGGGGAGGGGGCAGCGGUGGAAUUCAAUUUUUUUUACUACCGGUUCUGUGGGUCUGGCUUGGUGGAUGCGGCAGGGGAAGAAUACUGCAAAAUCUCCAUUUCCACCCCACGCCAGGGGAAGGAUAGUGCAAAAUUCCCAUUCACUCCCCACUCCUGGGGGUUAUUGCAAAAUCUCCAUUCCCACCCCACUCCAGGGGAAGGAUACUGCAAAAUUCCCAUUCGCUCCCCACUCCUGGGGGUUACUGCAAAAUCUCCAUUCCCACCCCACUCCAGGGGAAGGAUACUGCAAAAUUCCCAUUCGCUCCCCACUCCUGGGGGUUACUGCAAUAACUCCAUUCCCACCCCACUUUGGGGCCAGCUAGAGGUGGUAUUUGUGAACUACUCAAAAUUUCCACUACCGGUUCUUCAGAACCUGUCAGAACCUGCUGAAUUUCAGGGGGGGGGGAGGAAAUGAUGCUAAACCACCUCAAUCCUAUUCACAAAUGAAUCAUUAAUUGGAUUAAAAUGGUUAAAAUGCAGGCAGAUCUGCCUUUCCUCACUGCUUCCACUGGAACUACCUAAUGAAUAAUGACAGAAGGUUUUGCUUCCAUUCUCUCUCAGGUUAUUUUUCCCCUAGUAUGUUCCCAUAUACCAUAUUUUUUCUAAUAUCACAUGAUUUUAACAUGGGAGAUACCCAAUGACAUGUGGAAAGAGGAGUAGGCUCACCAACUUAGGGAAUUCCAGAUAGAGCCUUAAAGUCACACUUACCCCAUUCCUUCUGCAGUGCCCUCCUUAGUGGGUGUUUUUCUAUUGGGUGGUGAUAGACUGAAAGGAAAAGGCAACACAACCAGAAGAGAAAACCAGCUGUCUUGUUUAUAACCAUUGCCACAUUCUCUAUCUAUGACAAGAUCAUUUGGCUUCAUUUUGGGACCUCUGCCAGCAAAAACGGAGCUCAGGAGGGCCACCCAUAGGAGCAGACCAUUUUUGCUGGCAGAGACACCACGGGUCAGUCCUUCACUGUUUCCAGGGUGGCUCCACAGGCCGGAUCUACCCCCCCACACACACCCUUGAGUUUGACACCACUGCACUAGAGGCAGCAUAGACUUUAACAAUGGAAACAGCAACUGUUAUAUCGACAUUGUUUUGUGCUGAUUUAAGGAAUAGUAGGAAGCACUUCAAGCACUUUGGAAAGUCUUCCUUAUUUUCUUGUUUUCCCCCUCUUUUAGAAUGUUCUUUAAUGGCUCUGGAUUAAGUAGACUUUUCUGCAAUGCUCUGGCUACAAAUACACAGCUGCAAAGUAAAGCAUAAUAAGGAGUGUAGGAUCACAUUGCUUCUAGAGUGUAACAGUGUCCACUGAUCUCUCAUCAUGUUCUUUUCCCCCACUCAUUUAAAACAAUGGACCUACUCAGUGUCUGUCUUAGAUGUAAUGUAAAUGAGAGAGCAUCCGUCACAUUACAAGGAUUAUUUUAAAAAAAGUUUAACUUCCUGAAUCCCUUGAAUAAGCUGGAUAACGUUUACUGAAUGGCAAAAUUGACCUGUUAUUGAAGAGAAUAUGUGUAACUUCAUAACAAUCAAAUAAAAUAGUUACCUGCCAGCUCAAAAAAUAAAAAAAUCCAUUUAACCUUUUUCUUUUUUUAAAAAAAUAUUUCUUGUGAAUUUAUAGUGGCUGCUAUUUCUUGUGGAUAUAUUUGGAAAGUAUUGCUGAGAUAAGGAACAUUGGAAAAGCUUCCAGAUUGAUCUUCCCUCUAUCUAGUGCUUUGUCUUUGUUCAUAAAAUGCAGAUAUUAGCCAACUAGAAUAAAAAAUAAAAAAUGCAGACAUGAAGGUGGACAUUCUGUGGUUCACAAAAAUUAGUGGUCUGCAUAAAUCAUCUUAAUUAGUCAUGCUGUUUAACACUGCUAGAAGCUGGAAUUCAGCAAGUUCUGGAGGGCACAGUUUACCCAUCCCUGUUUUGAAUAAGGCUUCAUCACCUGUUGUCUCCAGAAAUCUUAGCCAAAACUCUGGUUAUCUGCAUUUGCCAUUCUGCCUGGAGGAUUAUGGAAGUUGAAACCUAUUACAUCUGGAAGUCAUAAAUAUAUAUUACAAAUUUUGAAAUAAUAGAAUUAUAAAGCUUAUUAUAGAUGGACUCUAAAUGGGGGGGGAGAAACAGCAUUUUUCUAACCUGAAUGUUAAUAACUGUUUAGAAAAUGUUAAAUAUUAGCCUAGUUUUACUAGCAACAUUUUGCCUGCAGAUUAGAUUAAAUCCAACUCCUCAAUGAGUGAAAUAAGAGUUGUGUGUAUAUGUAUAACUCACACUAAGGUUCAUGUGUAUGUUCAGAACUUUGGCUUUAAUCAGUAACACCCUCAUCACAGAAGAGUAGUUGUUUCCCUUAAACAUUUGUGCCAAUUUCUUGUAAUGAGGUACACACACACACACACACACACACACACACACAGGCUUUUUGAAACAAACUUGAAAGGUAAAUAUCUUACAUCUCAGGUAUAGAUAUAUUUCUCAGUGCAGAUAAGACACCUUUGUCUUUAACAUUCAUAUGCCAUAGCUAUGGUGCUUAAAUAGCUGCUAUUAGGAAAUUUCUUUCUUCAAGGUAUGUUGAUGGUGAGCCCUGAGGAUUCUAAUAUACCUGAGUGAUACCCAUUGGGAUAUAUCCCUAUUAGGUAUCUAUAAACAAAAAAAAAAAGUAUGGCUGCCUCCUGGGCUAUGGUGGUAGAACCAUCCUUUCUUGAUCUAUAGAUUCCUUAUUUAUGUUUUAUACCUAAUAUUCUUCCCUCCUCCUAUUUUCCUCACAUCAGCUCUGUGAGGUGGGUUAAGCUGUGAGGGAACAAGUUGUCCAAAGUCACCCAGCCAGCUUUCAUGCCUAAGGCAGGAUGAGAAUUCUCAGUCUCCUGGUUUCCAGCCUGGUGGCUUAACCACUAGACCAAACUCGCUUUCAUGCCAAGUACAAGAAUCCCAGUUGAUC